UAGAUUAAGUUAUUAAGGGCGCACGGUGGAUGCCUUGGCACUAGAAGCCGAUGAAGGACGUUACUAACGACGAUAUGCUUUGGGGAGCUGUAAGUAAGCUUUGAUCCAGAGAUUUCCGAAUGGGGAAACCCAGCAUGAGUUAUGUCAUGUUAUCGAUAUGUGAAUACAUAGCAUAUCAGAAGGCACACCCGGAGAACUGAAACAUCUUAGUACCCGGAGGAAGAGAAAGAAAAUUCGAUUCCCUUAGUAGCGGCGAGCGAAACGGGAAGAGCCCAAACCAACAAGCUUGCUUGUUGGGGUUGUAGGACACUCUAUACGGAGUUACAAAGGACGACAUUAGACGAAUCAUCUGGAAAGAUGAAUCAAAGAAGGUAAUAAUCCUGUAGUCGAAAAUGUUGUCUCUCUUGAGUGGAUCCUGAGUACGACGGAGCACGUGAAAUUCCGUCGGAAUCUGGGAGGACCAUCUCCUAAGGCUAAAUACUCUCUAGUGACCGAUAGUGAACCAGUACCGUGAGGGAAAGGUGAAAAGCACCCCGGAAGGGGAGUGAAAUAGAACCUGAAACCGUGUGCUUACAAGUAGUCAGAGCCCGUUAAUGGGUGAUGGCGUGCCUUUUGUAGAAUGAACCGGCGAGUUACGAUUUGAUGCAAGGUUAAGCAGUAAAUGUGGAGCCGUAGCGAAAGCGAGUCUGAAUAGGGCGUUUAGUAUUUGGUCGUAGACCCGAAACCAGGUGAUCUACCCUUGGUCAGGUUGAAGUUCAGGUAACACUGAAUGGAGGACCGAACCGACUUACGUUGAAAAGUGAGCGGAUGAACUGAGGGUAGCGGAGAAAUUCCAAUCGAACCUGGAGAUAGCUGGUUCUCUCCGAAAUAGCUUUAGGGCUAGCCUCAAGUGAUGAUUAUUGGAGGUAGAGCACUGUUUGGACGAGGGGCCCCUCUCGGGUUACCGAAUUCAGACAAACUCCGAAUGCCAAUUAAUUUAACUUGGGAGUCAGAACAUGGGUGAUAAGGUCCGUGUUCGAAAGGGAAACAGCCCAGACCACCAGCUAAGGUCCCAAAAUAUAUGUUAAGUGGAAAAGGAUGUGGCGUUGCCCAGACAACUAGGAUGUUGGCUUAGAAGCAGCCAUCAUUUAAAGAGUGCGUAAUAGCUCACUAGUCGAGUGACACUGCGCCGAAAAUGUACCGGGGCUAAACAUAUUACCGAAGCUGUGGAUUGUCCUUUGGACAAUGGUAGGAGAGCGUUCUAAGGGCGUUGAAGCAUGAUCGUAAGGACAUGUGGAGCGCUUAGAAGUGAGAAUGCCGGUGUGAGUAGCGAAAGACGGGUGAGAAUCCCGUCCACCGAUUGACUAAGGUUUCCAGAGGAAGGCUCGUCCGCUCUGGGUUAGUCGGGUCCUAAGCUGAGGCCGACAGGCGUAGGCGAUGGAUAACAGGUUGAUAUUCCUGUACCACCUAUAAUCGUUUUAAUCGAUGGGGGGACGCAGUAGGAUAGGCGAAGCGUGCGAUUGGAUUGCACGUCUAAGCAGUAAGGCUGAGUAUUAGGCAAAUCCGGUACUCGUUAAGGCUGAGCUGUGAUGGGGAGAAGACAUUGUGUCUUCGAGUCGUUGAUUUCACACUGCCGAGAAAAGCCUCUAGAUAGAAAAUAGGUGCCCGUACCGCAAACCGACACAGGUAGUCAAGAUGAGAAUUCUAAGGUGAGCGAGCGAACUCUCGUUAAGGAACUCGGCAAAAUGACCCCGUAACUUCGGGAGAAGGGGUGCUCUUUAGGGUUAACGCCCAGAAGAGCCGCAGUGAAUAGGCCCAAGCGACUGUUUAUCAAAAACACAGGUCUCUGCUAAACCGUAAGGUGAUGUAUAGGGGCUGACGCCUGCCCGGUGCUGGAAGGUUAAGAGGAGUGGUUAGCUUCUGCGAAGCUACGAAUCGAAGCCCCAGUAAACGGCGGCCGUAACUAUAACGGUCCUAAGGUAGCGAAAUUCCUUGUCGGGUAAGUUCCGACCCGCACGAAAGGCGUAACGAUUUGGGCACUGUCUCAACGAGAGACUCGGUGAAAUCAUAGUACCUGUGAAGAUGCAGGUUACCCGCGACAGGACGGAAAGACCCCGUGGAGCUUUACUGUAGCCUGAUAUUGAAAUUCGGCACAGCUUGUACAGGAUAGGUAGGAGCCUUUGAAACGUGAGCGCUAGCUUACGUGGAGGCGCUGGUGGGAUACUACCCUAGCUGUGUUGGCUUUCUAACCCGCACCACUUAUCGUGGUGGGAGACAGUGUCAGGCGGGCAGUUUGACUGGGGCGGUCGCCUCCUAAAAGGUAACGGAGGCGCUCAAAGGUUCCCUCAGAAUGGUUGGAAAUCAUUCAUAGAGUGUAAAGGCAUAAGGGAGCUUGACUGCGAGACCUACAAGUCGAGCAGGGUCGAAAGACGGACUUAGUGAUCCGGUGGUUCCGCAUGGAAGGGCCAUCGCUCAACGGAUAAAAGCUACCCCGGGGAUAACAGGCUUAUCUCCCCCAAGAGUUCACAUCGACGGGGAGGUUUGGCACCUCGAUGUCGGCUCAUCGCAUCCUGGGGCUGUAGUCGGUCCCAAGGGUUGGGCUGUUCGCCCAUUAAAGCGGUACGCGAGCUGGGUUCAGAACGUCGUGAGACAGUUCGGUCCCUAUCCGUCGUGGGCGUAGGAAAUUUGAGAGGAGC
This 2675-nucleotide ribosomal RNA is filed under the name Staphylococcus aureus. Its description in RNAcentral is "23S ribosomal RNA". It matches the Rfam family "Bacterial large subunit ribosomal RNA". Lineage: Bacteria; Bacillati; Bacillota; Bacilli; Caryophanales; Staphylococcaceae. The record is from RNAcentral.